GCUCCCGUGGUGUAGUCCGGUCAAUCAUCUCGGAUUUUCGAUCCGAGGACGUGGGUUCAAAUCCCGCCGGGAGCG
This 75-nucleotide transfer RNA is filed under the name Candidatus Woesearchaeota archaeon. RNAcentral's name for it is "tRNA-Glu". It matches the Rfam family "tRNA". Rfam says of the family: Transfer RNA (tRNA) molecules are approximately 80 nucleotides in length. Their secondary structure includes four short double-helical elements and three loops (D, anti-codon, and T loops). The record is from RNAcentral. Lineage: Archaea; Nanobdellati; Candidatus Woesearchaeota.